RNAcentral lists this long non-coding RNA (1344 nucleotides) under Chrysemys picta bellii (western painted turtle). Its description in RNAcentral is "lncRNA (ENSCPBG00000018415.1)". Lineage: Eukaryota; Metazoa; Chordata; Testudines; Emydidae. The record is from RNAcentral.
GGAGAAGUGGUGUAAUGAGAUAGCAAACUGGCCACUCUUCCUGCGCCAUGCUCUGCCCAUGUGGCAGGUGGCUCCCGUAAUGCCCGUUACUGUGCUCAGAAUGCACACGCUGCUGUUGGCAGGAAAGUGAAGCUGUCUGUGCAUGUGAACCUGCCCUGCCUUCCUCACUCUCCCAUUGACUGCUGGGGCCCUGGGGUGGAGGGAGACAGAGCUCCCUCCCUGGCUGUGCUGCCCUGACUCUUGCCCACCUGCAGCCCCUCAGGAGUUUUGCUGUCACACAGGUUGGCUGGUGAGCCAUGUCCACUUUCUCUCUGGUUAAUGCAGCCCAGAGCUGUGCGUCUCCCUCCCCUGGACCCUGCAGCCCGCUGCAUCCCUGGGAGCAGCAGGGAACAAACACCUCUCACUGGCUAAUGGUUUGAGCCACUCUUCCUGGGCGGGGAGGUGGGGCUGCUUGGCAGGCGCCAGAGUGAAGCACCUGUACUACAUGCAUCUUCGGCAGUAAUUAGUGCCGAGCACAGGCAUCCCCCUCCCCACUCCGGCUCCCUGCAGGGCGAUCACGGCUGCGGAGAGCAGACAGACAGGGGUUCUGCUGGUGCGAGCGCCUCCCUGGCUGAAGAUGGCAGGUUGGGAACGCUGGGUCGCUCCAGGCCGAGGGUUCCUCCUGCUCUGCAUUUUGACUCUGCAUUUUAGCUCUUGGAAUCCUGUUGCAUCAGCAGAGCAGAGCUCUACUCCUGCUAUGCUUUCGGUCACCACCCCCUCUGUUCCGGAGACUUCCCCUAUUUCCAGCACCUGGAUGGUCUCCAACCACUCUGCGAAUUGGACAGAAGACACACCUCUCACCUGCCAGAGUUUUCAGUGCUCUGGAGAGAGAUGCUACCAGGACGAAGCUUAUGCCAAUCACACCGUGACCUGCCACAAUGAGACUCACUGUGAGCUCUAUCGUCUGACCCACACAAACUACACAGCCAAGUGCAGCAGUGAGUGUGGGAGAGGGAACGGCACCGAGAUGUGUGUGACCAACAGCAGCGUGAGCAUGAGCAAGUGCGUCCUGGAGUGCUGCAACUCGUCCCUGUGCCUGCAACUCAAUGCCACCACCUACGGUGACUUGCCGCCCACCACCACUCCAGCUCCCACAACCACCACCACGAAGCCCCCUCCCAGAAAUGUAAGUAUUGCCUUCCAGCAUGAUCAGACAGCAGAGCUGUGUAGGCAUGUUGCCAGUGGGAAUGCUAAGCUGAGUAGUGUUGCCGUGAACUGUUAAACUGUGGUGUUCCACCCCAGAAAUGGCUGCCUUUUACUGGUGGAUGAAAUGUUCCUCAUGCUAUCUGCUCUCAAAGGUCAAUA